GCGCCAUUAGCUCAGUUGGACAGAGCAAUUGCCUUCUAAGCAAUCGGUCACUGGUUCGAAUCCAGUAUGGCUCACCA
This 77-nucleotide transfer RNA is filed under the name Escherichia coli. RNAcentral's name for it is "tRNA-Arg". It matches the Rfam family "tRNA". From Rfam's summary of the family: Transfer RNA (tRNA) molecules are approximately 80 nucleotides in length. RNAcentral also lists the same sequence under 1 other name. The record is from RNAcentral. Lineage: Bacteria; Pseudomonadati; Pseudomonadota; Gammaproteobacteria; Enterobacterales; Enterobacteriaceae.